This 465-nucleotide ribosomal RNA is filed under the name uncultured bacterium. RNAcentral describes it as "partial 16S ribosomal RNA". It matches the Rfam family "Bacterial small subunit ribosomal RNA", at positions 338 to 795 of the family's 1533-position model. The record is from RNAcentral.
CCUACGGGGUGCAGCAGUGGGGAAUAUUGCGCAAUGGGCGAAAGCCUGACGCAGCGACGCCGCGUGAGGGAUGAAGGUCUUCGGAUCGUAAACCUCUGUCAGCAGGGAAGAACGGUCACUGUGCUAAUCAGCAGUGAAUUGACGGGACCUGCAAAGGAAGCACCGGCUAACUCCGUGCCAGCAGCCGCGGUAAUACGGAGGGUGCGAGCGUUAAUCGGAAUUACUGGGCGGAAAGCGCUCGUAGGCGGGAUGUCAAGUCAAGGGGGAAAUCCCCGCGCGCAACGUGGGUAUUGCCGUUGAAACUGGCAAACUGGAGUGUGUGAGAGGAUAGUGGAAUUCCAGGUGUAGGAGUGAAAUCCGUAGAUAUCUGGAGGAACAUCAGUGGCGAAGGCGACGAUCUGGCACAUAACUGACGCUGAGGAGCGAAAGCGUGGGUAGCAAACAGGAUUAGAUACCCUGGUAGUC